UACGAAGGGGGCUAGCGUUGCUCGGAAUCACUGGGCGUAAAGCGCACGUAGGCGGCUUUCUAAGUCAGGGGUGAAAUCCUGGGGCUCAACUCCAGAACUGCCUUUGAUACUGGAGAGCUAGAGUCCGGAAGAGGUGAGUGGAACUGCGAGUGUAGAGGUGAAAUUCGUAGAUAUUCGCAAGAACACCAGUGGCGAAGGCGGCUCACUGGUCCGGUACUGACGCUGAGGUGCGAAAGCGUGGGGAGCAAACAGG
RNAcentral lists this ribosomal RNA (253 nucleotides) under uncultured bacterium. Its description in RNAcentral is "partial 16S ribosomal RNA". It matches the Rfam family "Bacterial small subunit ribosomal RNA", at positions 524 to 776 of the family's 1533-position model. The record is from RNAcentral.